This is a long non-coding RNA of Antechinus flavipes (yellow-footed antechinus), 1427 nucleotides long. RefSeq lists it as uncharacterized. Lineage: Eukaryota; Metazoa; Chordata; Mammalia; Dasyuromorphia; Dasyuridae. The record is from RefSeq and is a predicted model, not a curated record. The transcript is spliced from 2 exons.
UGGCCUGUGGCGGCCAUGAUCUAUAGUCCUCUGCCUUGAUCUGUAGUCCUUCGCCUUGGUCUGUAGUCCUCCGCCUUGGUAACGGCUCCUCCAGGAGCCUUGGGUGAGGGUUUCGAAAGAAUUAGCGCCUUUGGGUUGAAUGCUGACAGAACCCUUUUCAGGAUUGUUCAUCCAUCUUUGGGGGCCACUUGAUUCACCCAUCUCUCACUUGUUGCUCCAAGAAGCUAUAUUGGCCACAUCCUUUUGGCAAGACUGGGCUGAACCAUUUUAAGCCUCAGACCUCUUGGUGAAUUAGAAGGGUAGGGAACAAAUAUCCCUAGCCUAUGUAAACUUUCCCUGAUAGGAUGGGUAGAUGAAGAAAGCACCUUGUAGGGCUUAGAGUUUAGACUUCAGAAGAUGCUAAGGUCAUCCACAAGCUAUGGCCAGUUCUGACUUUUGUCUUGUCACUGGACUUUGAUGAUUCCACAAGAGAGUGUGAGUGAGGCUCGUGAUCCUGUGCAACUUUACCUCACUUAAGUCUGAUUCACUUACAAAUUAAGAUAUUGCCCAUGGACACUAAUACAUUGUUGGUGGAGUUGUGAACUGAUCUAACUAUUCUGGAGAGCAAUUUGGAACUGGGCUCAAAGGGCUAUCAAAAUGUGCCCUUUGAUCCAGAAAUAUUUCUAUAGGACUUAUAUCCAAAAAGAUCUUAAAGGAGGGAAAGGGACUCACAUGUGCAAAAAUGUUUGUGGCAGCCCUUUUUGUGGUGGCAAGAAACUGGAAACUAAAUGGAUGCCCAUCAGUUGGAGAAUGGCUAAGUUAUGGUAUAUGAAUGUUGUGGAAUAUUAUUAUUCUAUAAGAAAUGAUCAACAGGUUACUAUCAGAGAGGUCUGGAGAGACUUACAUGAACUGAUGCCAAGUGAAAUGAGCAGAACCAGAAGAUCAUUAUAUCAUGAUCAAUUCUGAUGGACACAGCUGUCUUCAAUGGUGAGAUGAUUCAGGCCACUUCAUUGAUCUUGUGAUGAAAAGAGGCAUCUACACCCAGAAAGAGUUUUGUGGGAACUGAGUAUGGAUCACGAUAUAACAGUUUCACUCUUUUUUUUGUUUGCUUGCAUUUUAUUUUCUUUCUCAUUUUUUUUCCUUUUUGAUCUGAUUUUUGUUGUGCAGCAAGAUAAUUGUAUAACUAUAUGAGCAUAUAUUGGAUUUAACAUAUAUGUGCAUGCAUAUAGAUACAGAUAUAGAUAUUUUUUACCAUGUUUAACAUUUCCCAAUUGCUUGCCAUCUAGGGAAGGGGAUGGGGGAAAAGGAGAGAAAAAGUGGAACAUAAAGUUUUGCAAGGAUUGUUGUUGAAAAAUCCAUGCAUAUAUUUUGAAAAUGAAAAGCUUAAAGAAAAAAAGAGAUACUGCUCAUGGUGUCACUUGACCUCCUCAAUAAAGGACAAACAGCAA